GCCCUUGACUCUGGGAUAAGCCUGGGAAACUGGGUCUAAUACCGGAUAUGACCUUCCAUCGCAUGGUGGUUGGUGGAAAGCUUUUGUGGUUUUGGAUGGACUCGCGGCCUAUCAGCUUGUUGGUGAGGUAAUGGCUUACCAAGGCGACGACGGGUAGCCGGCCUGAGAGGGUGACCGGCCACACUGGGACUGAGACACGGCCCAGACUCCUACGGGAGGCAGCAGUGGGGAAUAUUGCACAAUGGGCGSAAGCCUGAUGCAGCGACGCCGCGUGAGGGAUGACGGCCUUCGGGUUGUAAACCUCUUUCAGUAGGGAAGAAGCGAAAGUGACGGUACCUGCAGAAGAAGCGCCGGCUAACUACGUGCCAGCAGCCGCGGUAAUACGUAGGGCGCAAGCGUUAUCCGGAAUUAUUGGGCGUAAAGAGCUCGUAGGCGGUUUGUCGCGUCUGCCGUGAAAGUCCGGGGCUCAACUCCGGAUCUGCGGUGGGUACGGGCAGACUAGAGUGAUGUAGGGGAGACUGGAAUUCCUGGUGUAGCGGUGAAAUGCGCAGAUAUCAGAGGAACACCGAUGGCGAAGGCAGGUCUCUGGGCAUUAACUGACGCUGAGGAGCGAAAGCAUGGGGAGCGAACAGGAUUAGAUACCCUGGUAGUCCAUGCCGUAAACGUUGGGCACUAGGUGUGGGGGACAUUCCACGUUUUCCGCGCCGUAGCUAACGCAUUAAGUGCCCCGCCUGGGGAGUACGGCCGCAAGGCUAAAACUCAAAGGAAUUGACGGGGGCC
This 780-nucleotide ribosomal RNA is filed under the name Arthrobacter nitrophenolicus. Its description in RNAcentral is "bacterial SSU rRNA". The record is from RNAcentral. Lineage: Bacteria; Bacillati; Actinomycetota; Actinomycetes; Micrococcales; Micrococcaceae.